Molecule: ribosomal RNA, 284 nt
Filed under: uncultured bacterium
Lineage: Bacteria
Description: partial 16S ribosomal RNA
Rfam family: Bacterial small subunit ribosomal RNA
Source: RNAcentral
GUGGAUUAGAUACCCUGGUAGUCCACGCCGUAAACGUUGAUAACUCGAUGUUGGCGAUAUACUGUCAGCGUCUUAGCGAAAGCGUUAAGUUAUCCACCUGGGGAGUACGCCGGCAACGGUGAAACUCAAAGGAAUUGACGGGGGCCCGCACAAGCGGUGGAGCAUGUGGUUUAAUUCGAUGAUACGCGAGGAACCUUACCUGGACUUAAAUGGGAAUUGACGAAUGCAGAAAUGUAUUGUUCCUUCGGGACAAUUUUCAAGGUGCUGCACGGUCGUCGUCAGCU